This 284-nucleotide unclassified non-coding RNA is filed under the name rhizosphere metagenome. RNAcentral's name for it is "partial ribosomal RNA internal transcribed spacer region". The record is from RNAcentral.
GUAGGUGAACCUGCGGAAGGAUCAUUAACACGUCUAUUAUUAUCCAAUAAUAAUAUUACAAAAAACAAACGGUCACCUUUUUCCCUCCCUACUUCGUUACUGGAGACAGUACGAUUAGGCUAACCUUUUUUUACUAUUCAAACCCCUUUAAAUAAAAAUUUAACUAUUCGUUCUGCUGUAAAAGGCUUAACGAACUAACUAAAAUAUACAUUGAUUAUAUUUUUCUUUACGAAAUCAUAUAACAUAUAAGAAAACAACUCUUAGCAAUGGAUAUCUUGGUUCUC